Molecule: microRNA precursor, 209 nt
Filed under: Oryza brachyantha (malo sina)
Lineage: Eukaryota; Viridiplantae; Streptophyta; Magnoliopsida; Poales; Poaceae
Description: MIR812 microRNA precursor family
Rfam family: MIR812 microRNA precursor family
Source: Rfam by way of RNAcentral
AAUAAGAUCGUUUUUUCAGUUUUCUUAUAUAAUAUUUUGACUCUUCGUCUUAUUUGAAAUUUUUUUACGAUUAAUAUUUUUAUUCUUAUUAGAUGAUAAAACAUGAAUAGUACUUUAUGCGUGACUAAUUUUUUUAAGUUUUUUAUAAGUUUUUUAAAUAAGACGAAUGAUUAAACCGUGACCACGGAAAAACGAUAAAUGAAGUUAUU